CAGUCGCCACGGUAAUACGUAGGUGGCAAGCGUUGUCCGGAAUUAUUGGGCGUAAAGGGCUCGCAGGCGGUUUCUUAAGUCUGAUGUGAAAGCCCCCGGCUCAACCGGGGAGGGUCAUUGGAAACUGGGAAACUUGAGUGCAGAAGAGGAGAGUGGAAUUCCACGUGUAGCGGUGAAAUGCGUAGAGAUGUGGAGGAACACCAGUGGCGAAGGCGACUCUCUGGUCUGUAACUGACGCUGAGGAGCGAAAGCGUGGGGAGCGAACAGGAUUAGAGACCCCGGUAGUCCCUGUCUCUUAUAC
Molecule: ribosomal RNA, 301 nt
Filed under: uncultured bacterium
Lineage: Bacteria
Description: partial 16S ribosomal RNA
Rfam family: Bacterial small subunit ribosomal RNA
Source: RNAcentral